Molecule: small RNA, 27 nt
Filed under: Bombyx mori (domestic silkworm)
Lineage: Eukaryota; Metazoa; Arthropoda; Insecta; Lepidoptera; Bombycidae
Description: ovarian small RNA-36445
Source: RNAcentral
UUACAGUUUUCACCAAAACGCCUAACU